Molecule: long non-coding RNA, 926 nt
Organism: Nannospalax galili (Upper Galilee mountains blind mole rat)
Lineage: Eukaryota; Metazoa; Chordata; Mammalia; Rodentia; Spalacidae
Exons: 3
Source: RefSeq, a predicted model, not a curated record
CACACACACACACACACACACACACACACAUCCUGACAGAAAGUAGGCAUGUGCCAAGGCUCCAAAUGCUGGGCCAACCCCUAGCUUUAGAAUCAGAAAGGCAGCAUAAAAAGUGCCCAGGGCUACCAUCCUAGCAGGGCAGAAGCUAUUUCAAAACAAGAAACUCCUUGAAUAUAGUGCUUCUUUACUGAUUUGAGUUUAUUUCUUGACCAGUCUGAAUCCCAGAGAGAAGUGACCUGUUUGGGAGCCCCCAGCAAAGCCUCAUCUAGAAUUACCUCCACUCUCCUCCACCCCCACAAGGUUCCCUCACCCCCCGCCCCAGGGUCAGAGGCAGGAAUUGAGAGGCCAAUGUCCACCGGAGCUGAGAUAUCUUAGUCAGCCAAAAUUGUGCCAGGACAGCAAGCAAACCUAGCCUUGCUGAUGGAAGUUCCUGUGACCAGACUGCACCAGACUCCAGGGUGAGGUGGUGACAGGACGGGGCUCGAAUUGAGGCAUCCAUCUUGAAGGAAUGACUUGUUAAUGUCUCCCUGAGCCAGUGUGUCUACUUGCCCUUCCAGCACAGGUCCCCCAGCGCCAGAACCUCAGGAAGGCCUGCUUAUGUCUCAGGAGAGUUGAGCGUGCAAGGCCUACCAAAGAGGCUUUCACGAUGCUCCGCAGGGUGAAGAAUCUACUCCCACCCACACCAAGAUGCAGGGGCUGUGCUUGGUAUGUGGCUGAGUGCCAGCACUUGAUGUUCCUGUGUACACAGGAGAAGAAACCAUGUUGAAGGAACUCCUGUGAGGGACACUGACCCAGAGCAGCCUGCAGCUAAGGCACACACAUACAUGGACAGACAUGGACGCUUUGAUUGCAGAAAAAGAUAAAAAAAAUUUUUAAGGCUGGGGAGAUGACUCGGUGGUUAACAGCACUGCUGCUUUUACAGAAGA